UAUUAAGAUGUCUGCUUACCUGAAUGUGUUUCUGCAGAAAUUUAGAGAAAACUAGCAAUAGUAACGCCAUGUUGCAAGCUCCAAAGACACUGAGGUCAUUAAGGUCCCUGAAAAUGGCUGUAAGA
This is a small nucleolar RNA of Artibeus jamaicensis (Jamaican fruit-eating bat), 125 nucleotides long. RefSeq annotates it as small nucleolar RNA SNORA33. NCBI's taxonomy places the organism in Eukaryota, Metazoa, Chordata, Mammalia, Chiroptera, Phyllostomidae. The transcript has a single exon. The record is from RefSeq and is a predicted model, not a curated record.